Molecule: signal recognition particle RNA, 99 nt
Filed under: Gemmatimonadetes bacterium 13_2_20CM_1_69_27
Lineage: Bacteria; Pseudomonadati; Gemmatimonadota
Description: signal recognition particle sRNA small type
Rfam family: Bacterial small signal recognition particle RNA
About the family: The signal recognition particle (SRP) is a universally conserved ribonucleoprotein involved in the co-translational targeting of proteins to membranes. Archaeal SRP consists of a 7S RNA and homologues of the eukaryotic SRP19 and SRP54 proteins.
Source: RNAcentral
GCCCCAGGUCCGCAGGUCAUCCGGUCGUGAACCGCGUCAGGCCCCCGCAGGGAGCAGCGCUAAGCGAUUCGUGAUUACGCUGCGUCAACCUGGGGCAUU